AUUGAACGCUGGCGGCAGGCCUAACACAUGCAAGUCGAGCGAGCGGCGGACGGGUGAGUAAUGUAUGGGGACUGCCCGAUAGAGGGGGAUAACUACUGGAAACGGUGGCUAAUCCCGAAUACUGUCGGAAAACCCAUAUGGGAUUAGCUAGUAGGUAAGGUAAUGGCUUACCUAGGCGACGAUCCCUAGCUGGUCUGAGAGGAUGAACAGCCACACUGGGACUGAGACACGGCCCAGACUCCUACGGAGGCAGCAGUGGGGAAUAUUGCACAAUGGGCGAAAGCCUGAGACAGCCAUGCCGCGUGUAUGAAGAAGGCCCUCGGAUUGUAAAGUACUUUCAGUCGGGAGGCGUUACCGACAGAAGAAGCACCGGCUAACUCCGUGCCAGCAGCCGCGGUAAUUC
RNAcentral lists this ribosomal RNA (403 nucleotides) under uncultured bacterium. Its description in RNAcentral is "partial 16S ribosomal RNA". It matches the Rfam family "Bacterial small subunit ribosomal RNA", at positions 30 to 526 of the family's 1533-position model. The record is from RNAcentral.